This 72-nucleotide transfer RNA is filed under the name Bos taurus (domestic cattle). It matches the Rfam family "tRNA". Rfam says of the family: Transfer RNA (tRNA) molecules are approximately 80 nucleotides in length. Their secondary structure includes four short double-helical elements and three loops (D, anti-codon, and T loops). Lineage: Eukaryota; Metazoa; Chordata; Mammalia; Artiodactyla; Bovidae. RNAcentral also lists the same sequence under 5 other names. The record is from Rfam by way of RNAcentral.
UCCCUGGUGGCUCAGUGGUUAGGACUUGGUACUUUCACUGCCAUGGCCUUGGUUCAAUACCUGGUUGGGGAA